CCUGUGGCUGGGGGUGAAAGGCCAAUCAAACCGGGAGAUAGCUGGUUCUCCCCGAAAGCUAUUUAGGUAGCGCCUCGUGAAUUCAUCUCCGGGGGUAGAGCACUGUUUCGGCUAGGGGGCCAUCCCGGCUUACCAACCCGAUGCAAACUGCGAAUACCGGAGAAUGUUAUCACGGGAGACACACGGCGGGUGCUAACGUCCGUCGUGAAGAGGGAAACAACCCAGACCGCCAGCUAAGGUCCCAAAGUCAUGGUUAAGUGGGAAACGAUGUGGGAAGGCCCAGACAGCCAGGAUGUUGGCUUAGAAGCAGCCAUCAUUUAAAGAAAGCGUAAUAGCUCACUGGUCGAGUCGGCCUGCGCGGAAGAUGUAACGGGGCUAAACCAUGCACCGAAGCUGCGGCAGCGAACGUAUCACCCAAGACAACUUUACGGAGUUGACGAUUGACGGAGCGAAGCGACGUCAAAGCGUUCAUUAAAGUCGAGUUGGCUUAGGGAUACGUUCGUUGGGUAGGGGAGCGUUCUGUAAGCCUGUGAAGGUGUGUCGUGAGGCAUGCUGGAGGUAUCAGAAGUGCGAAUGCUGACAUA
Molecule: ribosomal RNA, 584 nt
Filed under: Salmonella enterica
Lineage: Bacteria; Pseudomonadati; Pseudomonadota; Gammaproteobacteria; Enterobacterales; Enterobacteriaceae
Description: partial 23S ribosomal RNA
Rfam family: Bacterial large subunit ribosomal RNA
Source: RNAcentral